GUUAGGAUAGCUCAGCUGGAUAGAGCAACGGUCUUCUAAACCGUAGGUCGUGGGUUCGAAUCCCACUCUUAACACUA
RNAcentral lists this transfer RNA (77 nucleotides) under Aerococcus viridans. Its description in RNAcentral is "tRNA-Arg". It matches the Rfam family "tRNA". From Rfam's summary of the family: Transfer RNA (tRNA) molecules are approximately 80 nucleotides in length. RNAcentral also lists the same sequence under 6 other names. The record is from RNAcentral. Lineage: Bacteria; Bacillati; Bacillota; Bacilli; Lactobacillales; Aerococcaceae.